GAGUUUGAUCAUGGCUCAGAACGUACGCUGGCGGCACGCCUAACACAUGCAAGUCGAACGAAGUAGCAAUACUUAGUGGCAGACGGGUGAGUAACAUGUAGGUAUCUGCCCUUUGGCCUGGAAUAACACGAGGAAACUUGUGCUAAUACCGGAUAAGUCUUUACGGAGAAAGCUUUAUGCACCAUUGGAUGAGCCUGCACUUGAUUAGUUUGUUGGUGGGGUAAUGGCCUACCAAGACUGUGAUCAAUAGCUGAUUUGAGAGGAUGAUCAGCCACAUUGGGACCGAGACACGGCCCAAACUCCUACGGGAGGCAGCAGUGGGGAAUCUUGCACAAUGGAGGAAACCCUGAUGCAGCGAUGCCGCGUGAGUGAAGAAGGCCCUUGGGUUGUAAAGCUCUUUCGUCGGGGAAGAAAAUGACUGUACCCGAAUAAGAAGGUCCGGCUAACUUCGUGCCAGCAGCCGCGGUAAUACGAAGGGACCUAGCGUAGUUCGGAAUUACUGGGCUUAAAGAGUUCGUAGGUGGUUGAAAAAGUUAGUGGUGAAAUCCCAGAGCUUAACUCUGGAACUGCCAUUAAAACUUUUCAGCUAGAGUAUGAUAGAGGAAAGCAGAAUUUCUAGUGUAGAGGUGAAAUUCGUAGAUAUUAGAAAGAAUACCAAUUGCGAAGGCAGCUUUCUGGAUCAUUACUGACACUGAGGAACGAAAGCAUGGGUAGCGAAGAGGAUUAGAUACCCUCGUAGUCCAUGCCGUAAACGAUGUGUGUUAGACGUUGGAAAUUUAUUUUCAGUGUCGCAGGGAAACCGAUAAACACACCGCCUGGGGAGUACGACCGCAAGGUUAAAACUCAAAUGAAUUGACGGGGACCCGCACAAGUAGUGGAGCAUGUGGUUUAAUUCGAAGAUACGCGCAGAACCUUACCAACACUUGACAUGUUCGUCGCGACUCUAAGAGAUUAGAGUUUUCGGUUCGGCCGGACGAAACACAGGUGCUGCAUGGCUGUCGUCAGCUCGUGUCGUGAGAUGUUGGGUUAAGUCCCGCAACGAGCGCAACCCUCACUUUUAGUUGCCAUCAUUAAGUUGGGCACUCUGAAAGAACUGCCAGUGAUAAGCUGGAGGAAGGUGGGGAUGACGUCAAGUCCUCAUGGCCCUUACGUGUUGGGCUACACACGUGCUACAAUGGUAUCUACAACAGGAAGCAAGACUGCGAAGUUAAGCAAAUCCCUAAAAGAUACCUCAGUUCGGAUUGCACUCUGCAACUCGAGUGCAUGAAGCUGGAAUUACUAGUAAUCGUGGAUCAGCGUGCCACGGUGAAUGCGUUCCCGGGUCUUGUACACACCGCCCGUCACACCAUGGGAGUUGGUUCUACCUUAAGGCAAGGUUUAAAACCCUUGACCACGGUAUAGUCAGCGACUGGGGUGAAGUCGUAACAAGGUAACC
This 1435-nucleotide ribosomal RNA is filed under the name uncultured marine bacterium. RNAcentral describes it as "bacterial SSU rRNA". It matches the Rfam family "Bacterial small subunit ribosomal RNA". The record is from RNAcentral.